This 503-nucleotide ribosomal RNA is filed under the name uncultured bacterium. Its description in RNAcentral is "partial 16S ribosomal RNA". It matches the Rfam family "Bacterial small subunit ribosomal RNA", at positions 29 to 523 of the family's 1533-position model. The record is from RNAcentral.
AACGAACGCUGGCGGCGCGUUUCAAGCAUGCAAGUCGAACGGCAGCAGUAGCAAUACUGUGAGAGUGGCGAACGGGUGAGUAACACGUAGGUGAUCUGCCUUUAGGUUGGGGAUAGCCUGUGGAAACACAGGGUAAUACCGGAUAAGCUUUCCCGGUUCUGACUGGGAAAGGAAAGAUGCUUCGGCAUCGCCUGAAGAUGAGCCUGCGGUCCAUUAGCUAGUUGGCGGGGUAAAGGCCCACCAAGGCGACGAUGGAUAUCCGGCCUGAGAGGGUGAACGGACACACGGGGACUGAGAUACGGCCCAGACUCCUACGGGAGGCAGCAGCUAAGAAUCUUCGGCAAUGGACGAAAGUCUGACGGAGCGACGCCGCGUGGAUGAUGAAGGCCGAAAGGUUGUAAAAUCCUUUUUUCAGUGAAGAAUAAUGGUGGGAGGAAAUGCCCAUCAGAUGACAUUAACUGAGGAAUAAGCCCCGGCUAAUUACGUGCCAGCCGCCGCCGUAA